GCCUGCCUGGCUCAGUCAGAAGAGCAUAUGACUUUUAAUCUUGGGGUCAUGAGUUUGAGCCCCAUGUCGGGAA
RNAcentral lists this transfer RNA (73 nucleotides) under Felis catus (domestic cat). It matches the Rfam family "tRNA". From Rfam's summary of the family: Transfer RNA (tRNA) molecules are approximately 80 nucleotides in length. Their secondary structure includes four short double-helical elements and three loops (D, anti-codon, and T loops). Lineage: Eukaryota; Metazoa; Chordata; Mammalia; Carnivora; Felidae. The record is from Rfam by way of RNAcentral. RNAcentral also lists the same sequence under 2 other names.